GUUUUGUUGGCUAUUACAUAUUGUUUUUAUUUAAUGGCGACCGGUAUUAUACCGAUUAUGAGAUUUUGAAAUUAAAUUCUGUUACAUAAUGAAUGGUAUUGUUGUGAUAUCAAUUGCAUCAUUUGUUUAAUGGUUAUGUAAGGAAGCUGUGAACCAGAAGUUUUUCAUCUUUUCUCAAGCGCUUUUAAGUGGAGGGAUUCACGAUGAUUAUUUCUUCAAACUACGUUAAUUGAUUUUACGAGAUUCCCAACGGAGGCCACCCUUCCUGGGAUUGGUGGAUGGUCGAUCAUGAUUGGUCGGAGGAGUUGUGGGAAUCUCCGUUCUGUUCUGCGUCAGGAGGGUGGUUCAGUCACGCAGGGUUCUCCGUCGUCUCUGCUUCGUGGGUAGUCUUUGUUAGAGAACGUGGGUGACAAGUGCCAAUACCAUCUCAGUAGAAUUGGACAAGAUUCGUUCCCCCCAUAUGUUGGUGUAAAGGGAAAAAAUAUGGUGCUGGCUUAUGCUUCCCCAAUCCCCUUCUGAGCUUCGAAAGGAUUUCGAGACUGGGUGGAGCCUCCGUUCCCUACCACUUUGCAUCCACUGGUUAAGAAGGCAAAGGGUAGGCAGUCCUUCGGCAACAGCUGAAGGAAAGGGAAUCCUAACUCCUAUGAAACAUUGCGAAUGAAAAUUAUUAACAGUUCCUAAUUUUUAAUCUGUUAAUAUCACACAUCUUAUUUGUACUCUAAAUUUUAUUCUAAUCCGGGUGUUCUUAAUUCCUAAGUUUUUAAAUUCUAAUUUGAAGAAUAACAUAAUCGACGUGUGUGUGAAAUUGUUGUUCAACUGAAAUUACAAGGAUUGCAUCUUUGAUACAGUAGAAAUGGAUGUUACCAACUGAGUUUCUGUCAUAACGUCGCCCUGAGCUGCUUCAGUGAACAGAAGGAGCGAUCGCUAGAUGGCGACACGAAUGUAACAUGAUAGUAAUUAUUACACAAGAUAGAAAUUUCCAUGACUCUGGAAAAUCAUCGUCCACAUUUGGUACUUUAUAAUGUGGCCAAUUAGAAUAGAUGAUUUAGAAGAAUUAAA
Long non-coding RNA from Orussus abietinus, 1059 nucleotides. RefSeq lists it as uncharacterized. The transcript has 5 exons. Lineage: Eukaryota; Metazoa; Arthropoda; Insecta; Hymenoptera; Orussidae. The record is from RefSeq and is a predicted model, not a curated record.